GCUCCAGACUCCUACGGGAGGCAGCAGUGGGGAAUAUUGCACAAUGGGGGAAACCCUGAUGCAGCGACGCCGCGUGAGUGAAGAAGUAAUUCGUUAUGUAAAGCUCUAUCAGCAGGGAAGAAAAUGACGGUACCUGAGUAAGAAGCCCCGGCUAACUACGUGCCAGCAGCCGCGGUAAUACGUAGGGGGCAAGCGUUAUCCGGAUUUACUGGGUGUAAAGGGAGCGUAGACGGCAGUGCAAGUCUGGAGUGAAAGCCCGGGGCCCAACCCCGGGACUGCUCUUGGAACUGCGUGGCUGGAGUGCAGGAGGGGCAGGCGGAAUUCCUGGUGUAGCGGUGAAAUGCGUAGAUAUCAGGAGGAACACCGGUGGCGAAGGCGGCCUGCUGGACUGCAACUGACGUUGAGGCCCGAAAGCGUGGGGAGCAAACAGGAUUAGAUACCCUAGUAGUG
RNAcentral lists this ribosomal RNA (450 nucleotides) under uncultured bacterium. RNAcentral describes it as "bacterial SSU rRNA". It matches the Rfam family "Bacterial small subunit ribosomal RNA", at positions 328 to 795 of the family's 1533-position model. The record is from RNAcentral.